Molecule: ribosomal RNA, 253 nt
Filed under: uncultured bacterium
Lineage: Bacteria
Description: partial 16S ribosomal RNA
Rfam family: Bacterial small subunit ribosomal RNA
Source: RNAcentral
UACGAAGGGGGCUAGCGUUGUUCGGAAUUACUGGGCGUAAAGCGCACGUAGGCGGAUUUGUUAGUCAGGGGUGAAAUCCCGGGGCUCAACCUCGGAACUGCCUUUGAUACUGCAAGUCUCGAGUCCGAUAGAGGUGGGCGGAAUUCCUAGUGUAGAGGUGAAAUUCGUAGAUAUCUGGAGGAACACCGGUGGCGAAGGCGACAUCCUGGACCGGUAUUGACGCUGAGGCGCGAAAGCCAGGGGAGCAAACGGG